This 648-nucleotide ribosomal RNA is filed under the name uncultured bacterium. RNAcentral's name for it is "bacterial SSU rRNA". It matches the Rfam family "Bacterial small subunit ribosomal RNA", at positions 232 to 885 of the family's 1533-position model. The record is from RNAcentral.
CGCGGCCUAUCAGCUUGUUGGUGGGGUAACGGCCUACCAAGGCAACGACGGGUAGCUGGUCUGAGAGGACGAUCAGCCACACUGGCACUGAGAUACGGGCCAGACUCCUACGGGAGGCAGCAGUGAGGAAUAUUGCGCAAUGGGCGAAAGCCUGACGCAGCGACGCCGCGUGGGGGAAGAAGGUUUUCGGAUUGUAAACCCCUUUUAGGAGGAAAGAUGGGGUGGGUUUCCACCCGGACGGUACCUCCAGAAAAAGCCACGGCUAACUUCGUGCCAGCAGCCGCGGUAAUACGAAGGUGGCGAGCGUUGUUCGGAUUUACUGGGCGUAAAGAGCACGUAGGCGGUUUAGUAAGCCCCUUGGGAAAGCUAUGGGCUUAACCCAUAAAGGUCGAGGGGGACUGCUAAGCUAGAGGGCGGGAGAGGAGCGCGGAAUUUCCGGUGUAGCGGUGAAAUGCGUAGAUAUCGGGAAGAAGGCCGGUGGCGAAGGCGGCGCUCUGGAACGUCUCUGACGCUGAGGUGCGAAAGCGUGGGGAGCAAACAGGAUUAGAUACCCUGAUAGUCCACGCCGUAAACGAUGGGCACUAAGUGUCGGCAGGUUACUGCCGGUGCCGCAGUUAACGCAGUAAGUGCCCCGCCUGGGGAGUACGG